GAUGCUGGAGUGUCUGAGAACACAGAGCCCUGAAAGGAAGUAGACCACAGGCUCACAAAUUCACCACCAUUUUCUCUGUGGUAGAAGUUUCCAUAAACCUUGCUUGAAUGUCAUUUUUUUUUUUCAAUAAAGUCAGCUGCCUUUUGAAGUAGCCAGCUGCCCCCAUAAAUAGGACCAAGCCACCCUUCCAAGGGUCACCUGAACUCUGUCAUUUGUGGAAAGACAAAGGAGCUGAGGAGACUCUGCUCUGAGGCCUAAAAUCAGUAGGAAAUCUCCUCAUGUGCUUUGUAAUUGAUCCCAUCCC
This 304-nucleotide long non-coding RNA is filed under the name Bos taurus (domestic cattle). RNAcentral's name for it is "long non-coding RNA NONBTAT026860". The record is from RNAcentral. Lineage: Eukaryota; Metazoa; Chordata; Mammalia; Artiodactyla; Bovidae.